ACAGGUGCUGCAUGGCUGUCGUCAGCUCGUGUCGUGAGAUGUUGGGUUAAGUCCCGCAACGAGCGCAACCCUUGCCUUUAGUUGCCAUCAUUCAGUUGGGCACUCUAGAGGGACUGCCGGUGUCAAACCGGAGGAAGGUGGGGAUGACGUCAAGUCCUCAUGGCCUUUAUGCCCAGGGCUACACACGUGCUACAAUGGGCGGUACAAAGAGCAGCGAGCUCGCGAGAGUAAGCAAAUCUCAAAAAGCCGUCCUCAGUUCGGAUUGGAGUCUGCAACUCGACUCCAUGAAGUUGGAAUCGCUAGUAAUCGCGGAUCAGCAUGCCGCGGUCGAAUACGUUCCGGGCCUU
Molecule: ribosomal RNA, 347 nt
Filed under: uncultured Syntrophaceae bacterium
Lineage: Bacteria; Pseudomonadati; Thermodesulfobacteriota; Syntrophia; Syntrophales; Syntrophaceae
Description: bacterial SSU rRNA
Rfam family: Bacterial small subunit ribosomal RNA
Source: RNAcentral